This 76-nucleotide transfer RNA is filed under the name Candidatus Saccharibacteria bacterium QS_5_54_17. RNAcentral's name for it is "tRNA-Ala". It matches the Rfam family "tRNA". From Rfam's summary of the family: Transfer RNA (tRNA) molecules are approximately 80 nucleotides in length. Their secondary structure includes four short double-helical elements and three loops (D, anti-codon, and T loops). Further hydrogen bonds mediate the characteristic L-shaped molecular structure. tRNAs have two regions of fundamental functional importance: the anti-codon, which is responsible for specific mRNA codon recognition, and the 3' end, to which the tRNAs corresponding amino acid is attached (by aminoacyl-tRNA synthetases). tRNAs cope with the degeneracy of the genetic code in two manners: having more than one tRNA (with a specific anti-codon) for a particular amino acid; and 'wobble' base-pairing, i.e. permitting non-standard base-pairing at the 3rd anti-codon position. The record is from RNAcentral. Lineage: Bacteria; Candidatus Saccharimonadota.
GGGGCGUUAGCUCAGUCGGGAGAGCACCUGCCUUGCACGCAGGAGGUCCGGGGUUCGAGUCCCCGACGCUCCACCA